UACGAAGGGGGCUAGCGUUGCUCGGAAUGACUGGGCGUAAAGGGCGCGUAGGCGGUUUGUUUAGUUAGGCGUGAAAUUCCUGGGCUCAACCUGGGGGCUGCGCUUAAUACAGGCAGACUGGAGUGUGAGAGAGGGUUGUGGAAUUCCCAGUGUAGAGGUGAAAUUCGUAGAUAUUGGGAAGAACACCGGUGGCGAAGGCGCCCACCUGGCCUGCUACUGACGCUGAAGCUCGAAAGCUAGGGGAGCAAACGGG
RNAcentral lists this ribosomal RNA (253 nucleotides) under uncultured prokaryote. RNAcentral's name for it is "partial 16S ribosomal RNA". It matches the Rfam family "Bacterial small subunit ribosomal RNA", at positions 524 to 776 of the family's 1533-position model. The record is from RNAcentral.